UGAAAAGUACCAAUCAGGCGUUAACGAGCGACUACAUAGAGCGAUGAAGCUUCCUUCGGGAAGUGGAUUAGCGGCGGACGGGUGAGUAACACGUGGGUAACCUGCCUCAAAGUGGGGGAUAGCCUUCCGAAAGGAAGAUUAAUACCGCAAAUAUGAGAGAAUCGCAUGAUUUUCUUAUCAAAGAUUUAUUGCUUUGAGAUGGACCCGCGGCGCAUAGCUAGUUGGUAAGGUAACGGCUUACCAAGGCAACGAUGCGUAGCCGACCUGAGAGGGUGAUCGGCCACAUUGGAACUGAGACACGGUCCAGACUCCUACGGGAGGCAGCAGUGGGGAAUAUUGCGCAAUGGGGGAAACCCUGACGCAGCAACGCCGCGUGGGUGAUGAAGGUCUUCGGAUUGUAAAGCCCUGUUUUCUGGGACGAUAAUGACGGUACCAGAGGAGGAAGCCACGGCUAACUACGUGCCAGCAGCCGCGGUAAUACGUAGGUGGCGAGCGUUGUCCGGAUUUACUGGGCGUAAAGGGUGCGUAGGCGGAUGUUUAAGUGGGAUGUGAAAUCCCCGGGCUU
RNAcentral lists this ribosomal RNA (565 nucleotides) under Clostridium botulinum. Its description in RNAcentral is "bacterial SSU rRNA". It matches the Rfam family "Bacterial small subunit ribosomal RNA", at positions 79 to 610 of the family's 1533-position model. Lineage: Bacteria; Bacillati; Bacillota; Clostridia; Eubacteriales; Clostridiaceae. The record is from RNAcentral.